GUGUCAGCAGCCGCGGUAAGACAGAGGCCUCAAGCGUUAGGCGGAAUCACUGGGCUUAAAGCGUGUGUAGGCGGAUCGUUAAGUACCUUGUGAAAUCCCACGGCUCACCCGUGGAACUGCUGGGUAUACUGGCGAUCUUGGGCCAACUAGGGGCAACUGGAACAAGCGGUGGAGCGGUGAAAUGCGUAGAUAUCGCUUGGAACGCCGAAGGUGAAAACAGGUUGCUGGGGUUGUGCCGACGCUGAGACACGAAAGCCAGGGGAGCAAACGGGAUUAGAUACCCCCGUAGUCC
RNAcentral lists this ribosomal RNA (292 nucleotides) under uncultured bacterium. Its description in RNAcentral is "partial 16S ribosomal RNA". It matches the Rfam family "Bacterial small subunit ribosomal RNA", at positions 505 to 796 of the family's 1533-position model. The record is from RNAcentral.